RNAcentral lists this small RNA (67 nucleotides) under Bacillus sp. FJAT-27986. RNAcentral describes it as "Bacillaceae-1 RNA". It matches the Rfam family "Bacillaceae-1 RNA". The record is from Rfam by way of RNAcentral. Lineage: Bacteria; Bacillati; Bacillota; Bacilli; Caryophanales; Bacillaceae.
UAGCAAAGAACAAAGACUAAGUAUGCCACAUCCUGUGGCAACGCCUUCAUGACCAACUUCCUGUUAG